This 462-nucleotide ribosomal RNA is filed under the name uncultured bacterium. RNAcentral's name for it is "bacterial SSU rRNA". It matches the Rfam family "Bacterial small subunit ribosomal RNA", at positions 28 to 526 of the family's 1533-position model. The record is from RNAcentral.
AACGAACGCUGGCGGCGCGCCUAACACAUGCAAGUCGAACGGGCAGUUAUCUUCGGGUGACUGUCAGUGGCGGACGGGUGAGUAACGCGUGGGAACCUGCCCAAGGGUUCGGGAUAACCGUGGGAAACCAUGGCUAAGACCGGAUACGGCCGAGAGGCGAAAGAUUUAUCGCCCUUGGAGGGGCCCGCGUCGGAUUAGCUAGACGGUGGGGUAACGGACUACCGUGGCUACGAUCCGUAACUGGUCUGAGAGGAUGGCGAGUCACACUGGGACGGCGACACGGCCCAGAGUCCUACGGGAGGCAGCAGUGGGGAAUCUUGGACAAUGGGGGCAACCCUGAUCCAGCGACGCCGCGUGGGUGACGAAGGCCUUCGGGUUGUAAAGCCCUUUUGCCGGGGACGAUGAUGACGGUACCCGGAGAAUAAGCACCGGCUAACUCCGUGCCAGCCGCCGCAGUAAGAC